CGCGCUAACUCCAGGGCUUGGCUGGCAAACGCCGCGCAGAGCGAGGCGAAGACAGCGAACGCUGCGCCAGAGCCCCGUCCACAGAGAGGGACGCCGGUCCUGAGGCCGCCCCGGGGUCCCCGCCCUUCCCUCGCCCUUUCGGCGCCCGGCAGGGAGUGGCAGAGAGGAGGCGAGGUGCUGGAGAACCGGUUCCCUCUCUCUCUCCCGCGCGCCACCCGGCUCGGCGGCCCGGCUGUGGGCUCGAGGAUUCCGGAGCCGCGGGCUGGAGUGGAGGGGGCCCCCGGCCCCUCUCGCGGCGCCGCGGGCCCCAGCGUCUUCUUUCACCGCGCCGCCACCUGCAGACCGACGCCGCGGGCGGCUCGUGCUGGCACAGGCUACUUUGCCGAGCGCAGGAGCAGCUCUAGGGCCCCUUUGGGAUCGUAUAAACUUAGCUCCAAAUACAGCCUAGUACCUGCUCUGCAUUCAAGAGGACCAUUUUCUCCCACAUGAAGUCCUAUGGAUACAAGAACUUCUCAAACCAGUGUCAAGUUUUCAUUGCAAGGAAGUAUCAGCAGUGGUUAAGAGUUCGCUCCAAAUGUUCAUCUUCUUCUUCAGCCCUGGAAGUCAAACAGGAAAUACAUUUAUUUUUCUACGUGGAGGCAGAGCUGCACUCCCCUCUCACCCCGCAAUCUGAGCCCCAGCGGGAAUAAGAAUCCUGGGGCCAGCACGGGGAGGGGGGCGCUGCCCCCGGCCCACUCCAGACCUCUGGACUGAACUUUCCACAAACUUCUCGGCCCCUCGGCUGGCGGCAGAGACUCGACCCCCGACCCCACUGCCCACUCACUGCUUCUCCUGCGCGUCCAGGUCCCUGACGAGCGCGUCGCGCUUGUUCACCAAGGCCACCAGCUCAUCCAGCAGGAGCUGCUCGCGUCGCUUCUGGGCCUCGGUUUUCUGCCAGUCUGCAGAGGACGGGAGGCUCGUUACCCACCCGCAAGACCUUGGCAAACCCGCCUCCCUUCCCGCCUUUUCCAGUUGCCCUGUAUCUCUCCGCAAACCAUGUUACAGAACCACUAACUAGUGUUUUAUGGGGUAAUGGCCGUCCUGAAGAGGAUUUCACCCUAAAACCCCAAUUCCUAAAUAUUUCUCACAGAUGGAGAUGGCUACGGCUGGGCUGGAACCUGCAAAAGAGGCCAGGUGUGAGCCGGUUGUCAGCCGGAGGUGCGCACCUGAUUUUGCCAAAGAGGGGGUAGGGAGAGCCGGAGGCCCAGAAGAGAUCAGCCCGAGGGUUGGUGUGUGUGUGGGGGGGGGAGUGGAUAAAUGAGGGGGCGGGAAGCAGAGAUGGGCGAUAAAAAUCACUCUGAAAAGGCUGGAGAAUCUGCUUGAGAACCUAUCCUUCUUCCCCCACCCCCAUGCUCACCCCAUACAGCCCAUUCUUUGCUAAUUUCCUCUUCGCUCUAUUUUAGCAGUUGGAUGUAUCUCACACUGGGCGCCAUAUGCUUCACAAUAACUUUAAAAGUAGUGAAUCGGCUAAUUAGCAUUUUUCUUUGAAGUAAAAAAUAAAUUUGCUCUGCAAUAUUACACUGCA
Long non-coding RNA from Neofelis nebulosa (Clouded leopard), 1564 nucleotides. RefSeq lists it as uncharacterized. The transcript has 3 exons. The record is from RefSeq and is a predicted model, not a curated record. NCBI's taxonomy places the organism in Eukaryota, Metazoa, Chordata, Mammalia, Carnivora, Felidae.